CCUACGGGAGGCAGCAGUGAGGAAUAUUGGUCAUUGGACGCAAGUCUGAACCAGCCAUGCCGCGUGCAGGAAGACGGCUCUAUGAGUUGUAAACUGCUUUUGUACGAGGGUAAACGCAGAUACGCGUAUCUGUCUGAAAGUAUCGUACGAAUAAGGAUCGGCUAACUCCGUGCCAGCAGCCGCGGUAAUACGGAGGAUUCAAGCGUUAUCCGGAUUUAUUGGGUUUAAAGGGUGCGUAGGCGGUCGGAUAAGUUAGAGGUGAAAUCCCGAGGCUCAACUUCGGAAUUGCCUCUGAUACUGUUCGGCGAGAGAGUAGUUGCGGUAGGCGGAAUGUAUGGUGUAGCGGUGAAAUGCUUAGAGAUCAUACAGAACACCGAUUGCGAAGGCAGCUUACCAAGCUACUUCUGACGUUGAGGCACGAAAGCGUGGGGAGCAAACAGGAUUAGAUACCCUAGUAGUC
RNAcentral lists this ribosomal RNA (460 nucleotides) under uncultured bacterium. RNAcentral describes it as "partial 16S ribosomal RNA". It matches the Rfam family "Bacterial small subunit ribosomal RNA", at positions 338 to 795 of the family's 1533-position model. The record is from RNAcentral.